This 728-nucleotide long non-coding RNA is filed under the name Fukomys damarensis (Damara mole-rat). RNAcentral describes it as "lncRNA (ENSFDAG00000023189.1)". Lineage: Eukaryota; Metazoa; Chordata; Mammalia; Rodentia; Bathyergidae. The record is from RNAcentral.
UCUUAGGAAUACUGAUCUUCUCAGAGUCUCUUCAAAUGGAACAUUCUGGUGAUUAGUAUGGUGAAUGAGGAGUGGACCAUAGGAAUGCCGAUGCAAUGUGACCAUUUUACAGCUAAGACAAAGAAAACUCCACAUGCUGAUGAUAGUAUAAGGAAAUCAGCUGGGGAGAUGAGGUUAGCCCUGCCCAGGCUUCUCAGUUGUUGGGAAUUUAAUGUCAACCCCACAGUGUUCUCUUAUGUGAAGGCAGCCUCCCCAAAGUCAAAACACUGCUCUUGACUGGGGUGGAAGAAGGAUCAGUCUGGAUGCUCUGAGGCAGUGAGCCAACCUAGGUUGUUCUGGUCAUCGUGGAGAAGGUAUUUUUUUUAUUGAGCAUUAAACAGUAUUUAUGCAAGGUGGCACAAGAUUAUAAUCCUAACCCUCUGCGAGGCUGAAGCAGGAGGACUGGAAGUUGGAGCCCAGCCUUGGUCAUUUAGAGACUCAGCAAGACCCUGUUUCAAAAAAAAAAAGCAAAAGGUAAGACUUGAUUGGUAGAUGAAUGGAUAAGUGAAAGUGAUGUAUAACUCUGACAUACACCAUGACCUUGAGGACAUUGUGCUAAGUUAAAAGAAGCCAGUGACAGAAGGAUAAAUACCGCAUGAUCCCACUUCAGUGAGAUACUUGGGACAGUCACCUUCAUAUUAAAGGGAAACAGGAUGGCACUUGCCAGGGGCUGGCGUGGUGGGGCGGGG